RNAcentral lists this ribosomal RNA (767 nucleotides) under uncultured bacterium. RNAcentral describes it as "bacterial SSU rRNA". It matches the Rfam family "Bacterial small subunit ribosomal RNA", at positions 96 to 878 of the family's 1533-position model. The record is from RNAcentral.
CGGCGAACGGGUGAGGAACACGUGAAGAAUCUGCCUUCAACUCUGGGAUAACUCCGGGAAACCGGGGCUAAUGCCGGAUAUGAGCCUUGAUCGCAUGAUCGGGGCUGGAAAGUUUUUCGGUUGAAGAUGACUUCGCGGCCUAUCAGCUUGUUGGUGAGGUAAUGGCUCACCAAGGCGUCGACGGGUAGCCGGCCUGAGAGGGCGACCGGCCACACUGGGACUGAGACACGGCCCAGACUCCUACGGGAGGCAGCAGUGGGGAAUAUUGGGCAUGGAGGAAACUCUGACCCAGCGACGCCGCGUGAGGGAUGAAGGCCUUCGGGUUGUAAACCUCUUUCAGUAGGGAAGAAGCGAAAGUGACGGUACCUACAGAAGAAGCACCGGCUAACUAUGUGCCAGCAGCCGCGGUAAUACAUAGGGUGCAAGCGUUGUCCGGAAUUAUUGGGCGUAAAGAGCUCGUAGGUGGUUCGAUACGUCGGAUGUGAAAAUCAGGGGCUCAACCCCUGACCUGCAUCCGAUACGGUCGAGCUGGAGUUUGGUAGGGGAGACUGGAAUUCCUGGUGUAGCGGUGGAAUGCGCAGAUAUCAGGAGGAACACCGAUGGCGAAGGCAGGUCUCUGGGCCAAUACUGACACUGAGGAGCGAAAGCGUGGGGAGCGAACAGGAUUAGAUACCCUGGUAGUCCACGCCGUAAACGGUGGGCGCUAGUUGUGCGAACCUUCCACGGUUUGUGCGACGCAGCUAACGCAUUAAGCGCCCCGCCUGGGG